ACAUCAGUCUCAUUCACGCCCAAAACGCCUUGUCCAAACAGCCGGGCAGUCGUCGCCAUGCUCGUCUGACGGUGUACGGCGGCUUUCGGCUUGCCGGUUGAGCCGGAGGAAUACAGCCAAAAACACACGUCGUCGGGGCGGGAAUGAAACGUUUCCGCUCUUGGAGUCGCGGAAUCCAGCAAUCGACAAAGGAGAGGUAGAUUGUUUUGAGUCUUGCUUGCCGACAAGAUAAUGCGACCAUUCCAUCCGAUGCUUUGUGCU
Molecule: unclassified non-coding RNA, 261 nt
Filed under: Ascomycota sp.
Lineage: Eukaryota; Fungi; Ascomycota
Description: partial internal transcribed spacer 1
Source: RNAcentral